UAGCAGUGAGGAAUAUUGGUCAAUAGCCUAACGGCUGAACCAGCAACUUGAAGGAAUGUAUAGCGAAAGCUAGUUGUGCUUAAUUUAGCGAAAGCUAAUGUGGUGCAAUAUUGACUACGUCAAAUAAAGUUCUGGGUAGAAUUAUGAUGGUGACAUUGUCUAUCUAUGUGUCUUGACCAAAUUACGUGCCAGCAGUCGCGGUAACACGUAAAAGACUAGUGUUAUUCAUCUUUAAUAGGUUUAAAGGGUACCUAGACAGCCUAUCAAGCCCCCCUAAAAUGGUACUAAUAGGCUAGAGUUUAAUAUAAGGAGGCAUUAAAGUACUGAGAACGUAGAGAGAUGAAAUUCUGUGAUACUAUAUAUGGCACUGGUAGAGGCGAAAGCAUCUUAUUAUGUAAAAACUGACGUUGAGGGACGAAGGCUGUGUGUAGCAAAAAGGAU
RNAcentral lists this ribosomal RNA (441 nucleotides) under Acolium inquinans. Its description in RNAcentral is "SSU rRNA". It matches the Rfam family "Bacterial small subunit ribosomal RNA", at positions 349 to 778 of the family's 1533-position model. The record is from RNAcentral. Lineage: Eukaryota; Fungi; Ascomycota; Lecanoromycetes; Caliciales; Caliciaceae.